This 491-nucleotide ribosomal RNA is filed under the name uncultured Glomus. RNAcentral's name for it is "SSU rRNA". It matches the Rfam family "Eukaryotic small subunit ribosomal RNA", at positions 586 to 1078 of the family's 1831-position model. The record is from RNAcentral. Lineage: Eukaryota; Fungi; Glomeromycota; Glomeromycetes; Glomerales; Glomeraceae.
CAGCUCCAAUAGCGUAUAUUAAAGUUGUUGCAGUUAAAAAGCUCGUAGUUGAAUUUCGGGGUUAGUAGUUUGGUCAUGCCUCUGGUAUGUACUGGUCUCACUGAUUCCUCCUUCCUGAUGAGCCGUAAUGCCAUUAAUUUGGUGUUGCGGGGAAUUUGGACUGUUACUUUGAAAAAAUUAGAGUGUUUAAAGCAAGCUAACGCUUGAAUACAUUAGCAUGGAAUAAUGAAAUAGGACGUUCGAUCCUAUUUUGUUGGUUUCUAGGAUUGACGUAAUGAUUAAUAGGGAUAGUUGGGGGCAUUAGUAUUCAAUUGUCAGAGGUGAAAUUCUUGGAUUUAUUGAAGACUAACUACUGCGAAAGCAUUUGCCAAGGAUGUUUUCAUUAAUCAAGAACGAAAGUUAGGGGAUCGAAGACGAUCAGAUACCGUCGUAGUCUUAACCAUAAACUAUGCCGACUAGGGAUCGGAUGAUGUUAAUUUUUUAAUGACUCA